Oncorhynchus keta (chum salmon) is the source of this 497-nucleotide long non-coding RNA. RefSeq lists it as uncharacterized. NCBI's taxonomy places the organism in Eukaryota, Metazoa, Chordata, Actinopteri, Salmoniformes, Salmonidae. The record is from RefSeq and is a predicted model, not a curated record. The transcript is spliced from 3 exons.
GGCAGGUAGCCUAGCGGUUAGAGUGUUGGGCUAGUAACCGGCAGGUAGCCUAGCGGUUAGAGUGUUGGGCCAGUAACCGGCAGGUAGCCUAGCGGUUCGAGUGUUGGACUAGUAACCGGCAGGUAGCCUAGUGGUUAGAGUGUUGGGCUAGUAACCGGCAGGUAGCCUAGUGUUUAGUGUUGGGCUAGUAACCGGCAGGUAGCCUAGUGGUUAGUGUUGGGCUAGUAACCGGCAGGUAGCCUAGCGGUUAGAGUGUUGGGCUAGUAACCGGCAGGUAGCCUAGUGGUUAAAGCGUUGGGCUAGUAACCGGCAGGUAGCAUAGUGGUUAGAGUGUUGGGCUAGUAACCAGCAGGUAGCCUAGUGGUUAAAGCGUUGGGCUAGUAACCAGCAGGUAGCCUAGUGGUUAAAGUGUUGGACUAGUAACCGGCAGGUAGCCUAGUGGUUAGAGCGUUGGGCUAGUAACCGGCAGGUAGCAUAGCGGUUAGAGCGUUGGGCUA